GAUGAACGCUGGCGGCGUGCCUAAUACAUGCAAGUCGAGCGAACAGACGAGGAGCUUGCUCCUCUGACGUUAGCGGCGGACGGGUGAGUAACACGUGGAUAACCUACCUAUAAGACUGGGAUAACUUCGGGAAACCGGAGCUAAUACCGGAUAAUAUAUUGAACCGCAUGGUUCAAUAGUGAAAGACGGUUUUGCUGUUACUUAUAGAUGCUUCCGCGCUGCAUUAGCUAGUUGGUAAGGUAACGGCUUACCAAGGUAACGAUGCGUAGCCGACCGGAGAGGGUGGUCGGCCACACGGGAGGUGAGCCAGGGUCCAGAGUACUGCGGGAGGGAGCAGUAGGGAAUGUUCCGCAAUGGGCGAAAGCCUUGCGGAGCAACGCCGCGUGAGUGAUGAAGGUGUUCGGAUCGUAAAACUCUGUUAUUAGGGAAGAACAAAUGUGUAAGUAGCUAUACACGUCUUGACGGUACCUAAUCAGAAAGCCACGGCUAACUACGUG
RNAcentral lists this ribosomal RNA (497 nucleotides) under uncultured bacterium. RNAcentral's name for it is "partial 16S ribosomal RNA". It matches the Rfam family "Bacterial small subunit ribosomal RNA", at positions 28 to 507 of the family's 1533-position model. The record is from RNAcentral.